UUUAAUCAAACUAAUUAAUGGUUAAUUACAUUUUAACAAUUAAUUAGAGUUAAAUUUAAUUAGAUUUGUAAGUUAUGUGUUUUUUAAAAAAACAAAGAAGAAUAAAUAAACAAAAAGGGGUAAAGCUAAGAGUUGGUUAUGGCCCAACAGGCGCUGACCCAGUUGAUCGAGAAAACAAAUCCAUCAGAGGGUCCAAGAUAUGAGGGUGCACGGUAAAUAGAAAGAAGCACGCAUGAGAUCCAUCUGACCAUGACCGACCGUGAGUGGAUCGGAGGGAUAAAUGAUAGAGGUUGGACCACCUCUGUUUGCCACAUGUCAGCAGAUGGAAUGAAGACCGGGUGGGGAAUCAUUGCUGAGGGAAUCUCACGAAGCCACUCAACCUCAUAAAUUAACUCAACCCACUUUCCACACAACCUUACAACAAACAAACUCAAAGGCCGCUCUCUCUUGCCUAUGAACAAACAAAGAUCCAACAACAUGAACCCAGAAAAAAAGAUCAAACGCGGCGGAGGACAAGAACUCUCAUGGCGGUGCUUAUGAGUCUCACGGUAACGCCACAGUGAGACACCUAGAAUCCAUCCCCGCUUCUUACCCUACCUAAACCCAAAUCCAUCAUCUAUUUCAGCAGAAUCACAACCAAAAAUCACAAAUCUCAAAUCAGAAACAAAAAACCUUGAAACUUCAAAGUAAAAUUAAAUCUUAAAUAUCAACAAUUUCAAACAAUUAGUGGAGGGUUUUUUCUCAGUUGAACAACAAACACGAAGGUUUGAAAGUCUUAGACAAAAGGAAAGAAAAUUUACUUGACCGGAACUAGUCUGACGAUGACGUCUUCUCCGACGAGGUUCAGAUAAGUCUUCUAUCUACUUUCUUGGCCUUCUUCUUGCUUAUGCAUAUGUGUGAUGAUUGUAAUGAUGUUAUUAUGAUGAGCGGCCUUAGCUCGGGCCUAAGCUUAGAGCUUUGAUUUGAAGCUCCAAUUGGUCUUUGUUAGAGAGCUCUUGGUGAGUUUUUUUGAGGGAUUUUUGCACAACAUUUGGUGUAAUUAGGGUCUUCUUAAAAUGAGUGAGAGAGGUAUUGUUAUAUAGAAGACUUGUGAGUGUGUGUCAUUUGUGUGAAUUGAAUUGUGUGAAGGAGAAAACCGUUACACACAAUUUCCAAAUCCCUGAUUUCACGGGAUUUCAGAGUGUGAUGUGAAUUUGUUGUGUGAAUCAAACAUGUAUUGAGAGUUAUUUCAUGUGACUGUUUUGAUUUGUGUGGUGAGGUGCGUGUGGAAAAUUGAGCUAUAUUGAUGUAAUAAUUUCACAUAUAUAUAUAUAUAUAUA
RNAcentral lists this long non-coding RNA (1319 nucleotides) under Lathyrus oleraceus (garden pea). RNAcentral's name for it is "Pisum sativum (pea) long non-coding RNA (PSAT_LNC010468)". Lineage: Eukaryota; Viridiplantae; Streptophyta; Magnoliopsida; Fabales; Fabaceae. The record is from RNAcentral.